RNAcentral lists this transfer RNA (63 nucleotides) under Pseudabris przewalskyi. Its description in RNAcentral is "tRNA-Pro". The record is from RNAcentral. Lineage: Eukaryota; Metazoa; Arthropoda; Insecta; Coleoptera; Meloidae.
CAGGAAAUAGUUUAUAAAAAUAUUAAUUUUGGAGAUUAAAGAUGGGAACUUUCUCUUUCCUGA